UCCCUCCGAAGUUUCCCUC
This 19-nucleotide small nuclear RNA is filed under the name Arabidopsis thaliana (thale cress). RNAcentral describes it as "snRNA_09323". The record is from RNAcentral. Lineage: Eukaryota; Viridiplantae; Streptophyta; Magnoliopsida; Brassicales; Brassicaceae.